This 253-nucleotide ribosomal RNA is filed under the name uncultured bacterium. Its description in RNAcentral is "partial 16S ribosomal RNA". It matches the Rfam family "Bacterial small subunit ribosomal RNA", at positions 524 to 776 of the family's 1533-position model. The record is from RNAcentral.
UACGUAGGGUGCAAGCGUUGUCCGGAAUCAUUGGGCGUAAAGCGCGUGUAGGCGGUCCGGUAAGUCCGCUGUGAAAGUCGGGGGCUCAACCCUCGAAUGCCGGUGGAUACUGUCGGGCUAGAGUGCGGAAGAGGCGAGUGGAAUUCCUGGUGUAGCGGUGAAAUGCGCAGAUAUCAGGAGGAACACCUAUUGCGAAGGCAGCUCGCUGGGACGUAACUGACGCUGAGACGCGAAAGCGUGGGGAGCAAACAGG